Long non-coding RNA from Priapulus caudatus, 859 nucleotides. RefSeq lists it as uncharacterized. The record is from RefSeq and is a predicted model, not a curated record. The transcript has 3 exons. Lineage: Eukaryota; Metazoa; Priapulida; Priapulimorpha; Priapulimorphida; Priapulidae.
GGUCCCCUCAUUUGGAUCCGUGUCAAUUCCGUCAACAACGAGCUGUGGGGCUUAACCGAUCGUCAGGAAGUUGUCCGCCGUCUGGGUAUAUCCGCGACCGAUCACGUCGGUGUGGGCUGGUCAGGCGUAAUACAAGAGGCGAUCAAGGUGGUGUCCGUUGGUCAGGCAGGAGUCUGGACAGUAAAUAGUACGAACGUUGUCUUUUACAGAAUCGGCACCGGCAACGGAAUCGGAGGUGAAGGUACUGGCUGGGAACUGGUGGAUGGCUCACUGAAGCAGGUUUCCUCUGGUGAUGGUGUCGUGUGGGGCGUGGAUGAAAACAACAAUAUAUUCAAACGCACCGGUAUAAAUGAUACAAAUCCGACUGGAACAGAGUGGCAGCCUAUUUCCGGUACACUCAGCAAAGUGAGCGUGAGUUCAGCGUCGAACUUCGUGUGGGGACUGGACGGUGACAGUGUAUAUCAACGCAUGUUCUAACAUGUACAAAUACCUUCAAAUUGUAUUGUUCGUAGUCGUUGCCCUUCAAAUAUUCUUGGUACGUGCUUAGCACGUAUGAAUACAUUUAAAAUAGAAUAACAACGGUAGUUAUAGCUGUAUAUAUACAAUGCUGGCUAUUGGUCAGAGAGCUAUAGCCUGGUCUGCAGCUUAAAAACAACUUAAAAAAAAUAAUGUAUCUAUAUGUACGAAACAGAGUCGAUAUUAGUGACACGAUAUAAAAAUCAUGGAACCUUCUUCAAAGUCAGUUCUUGGCGAGGCUAUACAUUUCACAUCGAAGUUCUAAACGUGGUAUAAUACUUUUAACAUAUUUUAUUAGACGUGUGCAUAUUAGUAGCGCGUCGUCUUGGCAGGUGUGAAUAGA